RNAcentral lists this ribosomal RNA (305 nucleotides) under uncultured bacterium. RNAcentral's name for it is "bacterial SSU rRNA". It matches the Rfam family "Bacterial small subunit ribosomal RNA", at positions 338 to 660 of the family's 1533-position model. The record is from RNAcentral.
CCUACGGGACGCAGCAGUGGGGGAUAUUGCACAAUGGGGGGAACCCUGAUGCAGCGACGCCGCGUGGGUGAAGAAGCGCCUCGGCGCGUAAAGCCCUGUCAGCAGGGAAGAAAAUGACGGUACCUGAAGAAGAAGCCCCGGCUAACUACGUGCCAGCAGCCGCGGUAAUACGUAGAGGGCAAGCGUUAUCCGGAUUUACUGGGUGUAAAGGGGGCGCAGACGGCGAUGCAAGCCAGGAGUGAAAGCCCGGGGCCCAACCCCGGGACUGCUCUUGGAACUGCGUGGCUAGAGUGCAGGAGGGGCAG